Molecule: ribosomal RNA, 531 nt
Filed under: Triticum aestivum (bread wheat)
Lineage: Eukaryota; Viridiplantae; Streptophyta; Magnoliopsida; Poales; Poaceae
Description: partial small subunit ribosomal RNA
Source: RNAcentral
AUGUCACCAUUCAGGUUAAUAUAUGGAAAAGCAUGCCAUCUACCCGUUGAACUUGAACACAAAGCUCAAUGGGCACUAAGGAAACUCAAUAUGGACCUUGAUGCAGUAGGAAAAUACAGAAAACUUCAACUCUGUGAAAUGGAAGAACUGAGAGCUGACUCUUACGAGAGUGCAAGAAUUUACAAAGAAAAGACCAAGAUCUGGCAUGACAAGCAUAUAUUGAGGAAAGAAUUUCAUCUUGGACAGUUGGUAUUGGUCUAUGAUACUAGGUUUCAUUUAUUUCCUGGUAAAUUCAAGUCAAGAUGGUAUGGCCCUUGCAAGGUGAAGAAGAUUCUGCAAAAUGGUGCUAUUCAAGUGCAAAGUACUUCUGGAGGUCUCUUCCUUGUAAACGGUCAAAGACUGAAGCCCUACAUCCCUGGAGAUCCACUUCUUAUUUCUGAAGAUGAGAAUGCAAGCGAAGAUCAAGACCCAGAGGAGGAAAUUCAAGAAGGCGAGGGGACCCAAGAGGUGUCAAUCCCUGCAGGACCCUGA